GAUGAACGCUAGCGGCAGGCUUAACACAUGCAAGUCGAGGGGCAGCAUAAUGGAUAGCAAUAUCUAUGGUGGCGACCGGCGCACGGGUGCGUAACGCGUAUGCAACCUACCUUUAACGGGGGGAUAACACUGAGAAAUUGGUACUAAUACCCCAUAAUAUCAUAGAAGGCAUCUUUUAUGGUUGAAAAUUCCGAUGGUUAGAGAUGGGCAUGCGUUGUAUUAGCUAGUUGGUGGGGUAACGGCUCACCAAGGCGACGAUACAUAGGGGGACUGAGAGGUUAACCCCCCACACUGGUACUGAGACACGGACCAGACUCCUACGGGAGGCAGCAGUGAGGAAGAUUGGUCAAUGGACGCAAGUCUGAACCAGCCAUGCCGCGUGCAGGAUGACGGCUCUAUGAGUUGUAAACUGCUUUUGUACGAGGGUAAACGCAGAUACGUGUAUCUGUCUGAAAGUAGCGUACGAAUAAGGAUCGGCUAACUCCGUG
This 488-nucleotide ribosomal RNA is filed under the name uncultured bacterium. RNAcentral's name for it is "partial 16S ribosomal RNA". It matches the Rfam family "Bacterial small subunit ribosomal RNA", at positions 28 to 507 of the family's 1533-position model. The record is from RNAcentral.